CGUCCCCCCACCCCCUUCGCUGUCCUCCAUCAGUCAACCGCCGUCAUCGCCGUCUUGUGGUGCUUUAGGAGUAUUAUUCAUUUUUAAGAGGUGACAUCCUUCGAAGGAUGUUGCUAGGGCUCUUCAGGAGAGUGUUAGGAGGCUAUAUAUUGAGCCCUAUCACUCUUGUCGGGAGAUUCCAAACAGUAUUUGUCAGGCAAUGUUUAAUGAAUUCAAGACUUUAUGUAUCUGGGAGCCAAGGUACAAUAUGGUCAUUGCGACCACUUUUGAAAAAAAGCAAGCGUCAGAUUGUCUAGUUGGCUAAAGAAAGCUAGGGAUGAUUGAGCAUCUUCGAGUUGGAUGCUGCCUCAUAUAUUUGAAGAAUUAUGCCGGUAUUGGGAUAUCGAAGAAUUUAAGGCCUUGUCCGAUCAAGGAAAAAAAGCAAGAGCCAGCCUAAAGGGUGGCUCAUUGCACACCGGAGGUGCAAAGAGUGUUGGUACGAUUCGGAGGGAGAUGGUAAUAUUUCUAAAUUUUAAGUUUAAAUUCAUUUUGUGAAAUAAAUUAUUUCAUAAAAUAUUAUUUCAUUAAUUGUAUUUUUAUUUAUAGGAAAAAGAAUUGGGACACACUCCCUAUCGCCAUGAAAUCUUUAAAAAAAACCAUGUGAAGAAAAAGACUAAUGAGUCGGAUCCGAAUGAGUGGGUGGAGGAAAGGGCCGAACGAGCCUAUGCAAGUUAUUUAAUAUAUAUUAUAAUAUAUUUUGAUUCUAAGUUUUAUUUUUAAUAUAUAUAUAUAUAUAUAUAUAUAUAGUUUGAUUAUAACAUUUAUUUUCUAAUAUGCAGCAAGAUUAUGAGCGGCACGUACGUGAGAUGGGAGAUUCGAUUCAGCUAACGCCUAAACAGUCCACUCAAAUUUGAACAGAAAAAGUGUUUGGAGGCAGCCACAAGGGCCGAAUAUAUGGAAUGGGCUCUAGGAAUAAUGUACGACGACUCCAAUCAGGUUUAGAAGGUAUUGGAUCGUCGCGUCAAGCUGAGGCCAUUGACGGAGUUCAGAUAGCUACAAUGUCUCAGCAAAUUGCAGAACUUACAUGCGCAUUGGCAGAAUUAGAGAAAAGAAGAAUCAAGGAUCAAAAAAGUAUGAAUGAACAAGUUGAGCAAAUUAAAGAACAAGUGUUCAACCUCGCCCUUCAGCCUCCACUCCGUUAUUCAAGAGCGUCCACUCCGGAUGAUUCCGAUGAUAGUGAUGAAUAUAUGGAAAAUAGGCCUUAGGGCUCCCUAUGUUAGUUUAUGAACAUUUUGAAUUUUUUUUGUUAACUUUGAAACACUUUAAAUCGUUCUAAAUUAUGAUUUUAUUCAUUUUAAGUGUUUAAUUAUAUUUGUUAUUAUGUAU
Solanum dulcamara is the source of this 1365-nucleotide long non-coding RNA. RefSeq lists it as uncharacterized. The transcript has 3 exons. NCBI's taxonomy places the organism in Eukaryota, Viridiplantae, Streptophyta, Magnoliopsida, Solanales, Solanaceae. The record is from RefSeq and is a predicted model, not a curated record.